RNAcentral lists this unclassified non-coding RNA (230 nucleotides) under plant metagenome. RNAcentral describes it as "partial contains small subunit ribosomal RNA, internal transcribed spacer 1, and 5.8S ribosomal RNA". The record is from RNAcentral.
UCACCGUAGGUGAACCUGCGGAGGGAUCAUUAACGAGUUCCCCUUAAACGGGUAGAAUUCCCACCCUAUGUUAUCAUUACCUUUGUUGCUUUGGCGGGCCGUCUCGGCCUCGGUCAGGCUACCGGCUCCGGCUGGUAAGCGCCCGCCAGAGGACCCCAAACUCUGAAUAUUAGUAUCGUCUGAGUAUUAUAUAAUAGUUAAAACUUUCAACAACGGAUCUCUUGGUUCUG